RNAcentral lists this ribosomal RNA (253 nucleotides) under uncultured bacterium. Its description in RNAcentral is "partial 16S ribosomal RNA". It matches the Rfam family "Bacterial small subunit ribosomal RNA", at positions 524 to 776 of the family's 1533-position model. The record is from RNAcentral.
UACGUAGGUGGCAAGCGUUGUCCGGAAUUACUGGGCGUAAAGGGCGCGUAGGCGGCCAUCUAAGUCAGACGUGAAAUCCCCCGGCUUAACCUGGGAACUGCGUCUGAUACUGGAAGGCUUGAGUAUGGGAGAGGGAUGUAGAAUUCCUGGUGUAGCAGUGAAAUGCGUAGAUAUCUGGAGGAACACCGGUGGCGAAGGCGGCAUCCUGGACCGGUAUUGACGCUGAGGCGCGAAAGCCAGGGGAGCAAACGGG